CCCACUGCAUGUUGGCUGAUGCCACAAAUUCCUAGUUGACUGGAAGAAAACCAGCUGGCCUUCUGCAAAUGUUCACUGACGCAUCUCAGCCAUCGGGAGCGGGGAAAAGCAAAGGGAGCCCUGAAGCUGUCUCACAGGCACAAAACCAGAAGAGGAAAAAAGGUAAAUAUGGAUUAUUGCGCUGCAUGAGCGCAAAUAGGGAGCAGGUAAAAGAAUAACAGUCAUAAAACUCAAAAUGAAAAUUAAAGGUUCACUUUCUAAUA
This 263-nucleotide long non-coding RNA is filed under the name Oreochromis niloticus (Nile tilapia). RNAcentral's name for it is "lncRNA (ENSONIG00000039592.1)". Lineage: Eukaryota; Metazoa; Chordata; Actinopteri; Cichliformes; Cichlidae. The record is from RNAcentral.